GGGGGCGACUGGUUUCGACAUGGUCAUCCUGAGAGGUGAAGCAGGCCGUGGUCUCCUCACCACGUUAAACAGGGGUACUUGUCAAUACAUGACAAGCCUCAGUACGCUCUCGCCGCUUAAUUAGCUGGCGACGUCAAUCCGAUGUCCACCUUCAGCAUCGGUGCGACGCCAUGCAUGAGGGUUGCUCCCGCGCACGUAGCCGGUAUGGCGCGGGCUAAGACCGAACCGACUGGGGUGCCGACCGCCUGACGGCGUGCGGGACGCACCUGAGACUCAACACGCCUUCUGAGCCUGGAGAAGCCCUCAGGGGAUGGUCAUGGACCGGAGUUCGAUUCUCCGCGCCUCCACCA
Molecule: transfer-messenger RNA, 350 nt
Filed under: Coriobacteriales
Lineage: Bacteria; Bacillati; Actinomycetota; Coriobacteriia
Also listed under: 2 other names
Description: CAIFEU01 sp902783515 Standard tmRNA
Rfam family: transfer-messenger RNA
About the family: Bacterial tmRNA, also known as 10Sa RNA or SsrA, is named for its dual tRNA and mRNA-like properties. Its role is to liberate the mRNA from a stalled ribosome. To accomplish this part of the tmRNA is used as a reading frame that ends in a translation stop signal.
Source: RNAcentral